RNAcentral lists this long non-coding RNA (211 nucleotides) under Bos taurus (domestic cattle). RNAcentral's name for it is "long non-coding RNA NONBTAT019260". The record is from RNAcentral. Lineage: Eukaryota; Metazoa; Chordata; Mammalia; Artiodactyla; Bovidae.
CAGGACUGUAAUUUAAUUUCAGGUGCGGCUGGUCCCACACCCUUGUUCAAAUGAUCCAAGCAAGAGCAGACCCCCACAUGUUGACUGAGGCCUCCUGGUCCUUCAGCUGCCGUGUCUACUGAUGCUUAUCUCGGUUUAGUGCCAUUUUUUCCCCCAGGUGUAAAGCUCCAACCCCUCCACCAUUUUCCAUGAAAAAUCCUUGGGUUACUAU